CCGUUGACCCCAACGUUAUUCUGAGAUCCAAUCGGACCGAUGGGACCAAACCCGAUGUUGGCGUUGCUGGUGGCUCCGAUUUUCCACCCAUCGUUGCUGAAAGAGUUGAAAUCGGUUACCUUCGGCUUCAAGCUGUUGACGGAGUUCAGUUCGCCGCCUACUCUGAUAUCAAAAUUCCUCCUCUCGUCAGGCCUCUUCGAAACGUAACCACUGCUCCAUAUCGAAUCGUUGAGCGAAAGGUUCGCCAAGUUGGAAUUUUGGACCCUAAGUUGAUCACUGAAUUGCCAAAAGGAUUGCUGGUUGUUCUCCAUCUCCGACUCCAAUUCAACUCCCUUUCAAUAAAAAAAUGGGAUAUGGGUUUCAAA
Molecule: long non-coding RNA, 365 nt
Filed under: Gossypium raimondii (Peruvian cotton)
Lineage: Eukaryota; Viridiplantae; Streptophyta; Magnoliopsida; Malvales; Malvaceae
Description: long non-coding RNA (GRAI_LNC006794)
Source: RNAcentral